RNAcentral lists this ribosomal RNA (253 nucleotides) under uncultured bacterium. Its description in RNAcentral is "partial 16S ribosomal RNA". It matches the Rfam family "Bacterial small subunit ribosomal RNA", at positions 524 to 776 of the family's 1533-position model. The record is from RNAcentral.
GACAGAGGUGCCGAGCGUUAGGCGGAAUCACUGGGCUUAAAGCGUGUGUAGGCGGACCCGUAAGUACCUUGUGAAAUCCCACGGCUCAACCGUGGAACGGCUGGGUAUACUGCGGGUCUUGAGCAACCUAGGGGCAGACGGAACAAGUGGUGGAGCGGUGAAAUGCGUAGAUAUCACUUGGAACGCCGACGGUGAAAACAGUCUGCUGGGGGUUUGCUGACGCUGAGACACGAAAGCCAGGGGAGCGAACGGG